GAUGAAGAACGUAGCGAAAUGCGAUAAGUAAUGUGAAUUGCAGAAUCCAGUGAAUCAUCGAAUCUUUGAACGCACAUUGCGCCCGCCAGCAUUCUGGCGGGCAUGCCUGUUCGAGCGUCAUUUCAACCAUCAAGCCCCAGGCUUGUGUUGGGGACCUGCGGCUGCCGCAGGCCCUGAAAACCAGUGGCGGGCUCGCUAGUCACACCGAGCGUAGUAGCAUACACAUCGCUCAGGGCGUGCUGCGGGUUCCGGCCGUUAAACCCCUUUUUUACCCAAGGUUGACCUCGGAUCAGGUAGGAAGACCCGCUGAACUUAAGCAUAUCAAUAAGCGGAGGA
Molecule: unclassified non-coding RNA, 336 nt
Filed under: soil metagenome
Description: partial contains 5.8S ribosomal RNA, internal transcribed spacer 2, and large subunit ribosomal RNA
Rfam family: 5.8S ribosomal RNA (bases 1-120)
Source: RNAcentral